ACGCACGCUGGCGGCGUGCUUCACCCAUGCAAGUCGCACGAAAAGAGGGAAAGAGCCUGCUCUUUCCGGAAUUGAGUGGCAAACGGGUGAGUAACACGUAAACAACCUGCCUUCAGGAUGGGGACAACAGACGGAAACGACUGCUAAUACCGAAUAAGUUCCAAGAGCCGCAUGGCCCAUGGAAGAAAAGGUGGCCUCUACCUGUAAGCUAUCGCCUGAAGAGGGGUUUGCGUCUGAUUAGCUGGUUGGAGGGGUAACGGCCCACCAAGGCGACGAUCAGUAGCCGGUCUGAGAGGAUGAACGGCCACACUGGAACUGAGACACGGUCCAGACUCCUACGGGAGGCAGCAGUGGGGAAUCUUCCGCAAUGGGCGAAAGCCUGACGGAGCAACGCCGCGUGAGUGAUGACGGCCUUCGGGUUGUAAAACUCUGUGAUCCGGGACGAAAAGGCAGAGUGCGAAGAACAAACUGCAUUGACGGUACCGGAAAAGCAAGCCACGGCUAACUACGUG
RNAcentral lists this ribosomal RNA (512 nucleotides) under uncultured bacterium. RNAcentral's name for it is "partial 16S ribosomal RNA". It matches the Rfam family "Bacterial small subunit ribosomal RNA", at positions 29 to 507 of the family's 1533-position model. The record is from RNAcentral.